This 549-nucleotide ribosomal RNA is filed under the name uncultured euryarchaeote. RNAcentral describes it as "bacterial SSU rRNA". It matches the Rfam family "Archaeal small subunit ribosomal RNA", at positions 351 to 899 of the family's 1478-position model. The record is from RNAcentral. Lineage: Archaea; Methanobacteriati; Methanobacteriota.
GGCAAUGCGAGAAAUCGUGACCAGGGAACUCCAAGUGCGUAGGGUAAGACCUACGCUUUUCUUGACUCUUCAAAGGUCUUGGAAUAAGGGGUGGGUAAGGACGGUGCCAGCCGCCGCGGUAAUACCGGCGCCUCAAGUGGUAGUCGCUUUUAUUGGGCCUAAAACGUCCGUAGCCGGUCUGGUGCAUUCGUGGGUAAAUCAACCCGCUCAACGGGUUGAAUUCUGCGAGCACGGCCAGACUUGGGACCGGGAGAGGUGUGGGGUACUCUCAGGGUAGGGGUAAAAUCCUGUCAUCCUGAGAGGACCACCUGUUGCGAAGGCGCCACACUAGAACGGAUCCGACGGUCAGGGACGAAACCUAGGGGCACGAACCGGAUUAGAUACCCGGGUAGUCCUAGGUGUAAACGCUGUGGACUUGAUGUUGGGGGCGCUCCGAGCGCUCUCAGUGUCGAAGUCUGAAGCGUGAUAAGUCCACUGCUCUGGGGAGUUAUCGUGUCGCAAGGGUCCUGAAACUCAAAGGAAUUGACGGAAUCAUAGUCGCCGCCUGCA